Molecule: long non-coding RNA, 912 nt
Organism: Carassius auratus (goldfish)
Lineage: Eukaryota; Metazoa; Chordata; Actinopteri; Cypriniformes; Cyprinidae
Exons: 5
Source: RefSeq, a predicted model, not a curated record
AAAAAGUGCUACACCCACACAGUAGGUUUUAUAUAUUUUAAAUAGUUGUAAUCUAGUUUAUUUUAUUUGUUUUAUACUAAAAAGUAUAAAUAUACUUCCUCUUUACUUAAAAUAUAUCACUUUUUACAUAACAAUAUAUUUUAAGUAAAACAAUAGCAAUUUAUUUGGGUAGCUUUUUGUAUGAGUUUGUUGUGUACAAGAAAUGUUAUAAAAGUGAGUUGAAAUACACAAUUUAUUUGAGCAGCUGUCGAUGUGGCAUGUGUGUUCAUCAAACUUAAAUAUUUGAAAUAAAAAACACAUAAAAAUUAAGUUGGAUUUAUCCCUUUUUCACUGGCGGGGACUUUCCAAGGCAGAUGCUUCCUCGGCACUUCAACUGUUUGAAAGCUGCAGCUGAUCUAAAUUUCACAGACUGAUUAACACGUCUCCGGUGGGGCAUGCAGCUGUCGUGGGGUCCUCGUGUUAUCAGCAGCAGAGUUGUAACCAAGCGUUUUUGUUACCUGGGGUCUUCAGAUACAGGAUCCGUCUGGCUAUGUGGAGAAAAGGAGAGAAGUGGUACUGAGAUGCCUGAUUGAGUACAUAUGGGAGGGAAAGGAAGACCUCAUCAGUGUCCACCAUAGUCAUGAUGAAACAGAGGUGCACGCUGAGCUUGGCAGUUCCCCACUGAAAAUAUACAUGCGCCAUCAGCCAAACACGAUUGGGAUUAUCACAGUAGAAGGACAGCCCAUGGUCAGAGGUGUGCCAAACCUGUAGAAAACCUCCUGUGUGGACUUGUCUAUGCCCACAACCUCUAAUAUCACUCAAAUCUGGUGUAUACUUCUGAGAUAUAUCACAGGCUCUUUGUGGGAUUGGACCCUAUGCAUACUUUUGUAUGUUUUGUAGGCACUGUUAAAAGUGACACUAGUUGACAUUGAA